AGAUUGAACGCUGGCGGCAGGCCUAACACAUGCAAGUCGAGCGGUAGAGAGGUGCUUGCAUCUCUUGAGAGCGGCGGACGGGUGAGUAAUGCCUAGGAAUCUGCCUAGUGGUGGGGGAUAACGUUCGGAAACGGACGCUAAUACCGCGUACGUCCUACGGGAGAAAGCGGGGGACCUUCGGGCCUCGCGCCAUUAGAUGAGCCUAGGUCGGAUUAGCUAGUUGGUGAGGUAGUGGCUCACCAAGGCGACGAUCCGUAACUGGUCUGAGAGGAUGAUCAGUCACACUGGAACUGAGACACGGUCCAGACUCCUACGGGAGGCAGCAGUGGGGAAUAUUGGACAAUGGGCGAAAGGCCUGAUCCAGCCAUGCCGCGUGUGUGAAGAAGGUCUUCGGAUUGUAAAGCACUUUAAGUUGGAGGUAAGGGUUGUAACUUAAUACGUUGCAACUUUGACGUUACCGACAGAAUAAGCUACCGCUAACUUCGUGCCAGCAGCCG
RNAcentral lists this ribosomal RNA (497 nucleotides) under uncultured soil bacterium. Its description in RNAcentral is "bacterial SSU rRNA". It matches the Rfam family "Bacterial small subunit ribosomal RNA", at positions 26 to 517 of the family's 1533-position model. The record is from RNAcentral.